ACAGCUAACAGGAAUGAUGAUCUGUUUUCUAUUUCCCCAAUCAUGUUGCUUCUUGCUUCUGAUGUGCUUGAUGUGGAAGAAAUCAGUGGUGACGAUUCUUUCUUUGCCUCACGUUUCAUAAGUGAUUGGUAGAACUCAACAACUUCUGGAGCACGAUGAACUUUAUCUCCACUUCCUGCUCCUCUAGGAAGUGAUCCUGGGGGAGGAGGUGGACGAGGUGGUCCACCAGGUGGCGGUGGAGGUGGUGGAGCACCUGGUGGAGGAGGUGGAGCACCUCCAGUAUGAACAUUCUUAUUUGAAUCUGCAGGAGCACCUGAUGAUGCUUUAGGAGGUGGACGGGGGACUCU
Molecule: long non-coding RNA, 347 nt
Filed under: Coffea arabica (coffee)
Lineage: Eukaryota; Viridiplantae; Streptophyta; Magnoliopsida; Gentianales; Rubiaceae
Description: long non-coding RNA (CARA_LNC007602)
Source: RNAcentral